Molecule: long non-coding RNA, 324 nt
Filed under: Elaeis guineensis (African oil palm)
Lineage: Eukaryota; Viridiplantae; Streptophyta; Magnoliopsida; Arecales; Arecaceae
Description: long non-coding RNA (EGUI_LNC063211)
Source: RNAcentral
UCCGCAUGACUGAAGGUACCUCCAUGCAAACUCAUGUCCUAAAGAUGAUUGAUUUGAUCACUCGUCUAGGAUAGCUGGAUUUUACCAUGGAUGGUGAACUGAGCCAGAAUUUGAUUCUGCAGUCUCUCUCUGACUCUUUUCUUAGUUUGUUAUUAAUUAUCAUAUGAACAAACUGAACAUUAGCUUUCUUGAGCUACUAAACAUGCUGAAAAUAGCAGAGAGCAUUUCAAGGGUGAAAAGGCUCAAGUCCUUCAUGUUGAUAAGAUUAGCAAGAAGGCAAAGAAGGGUUCUAAGAAAAAGAUGAACUCUUAGGCUAGCAUCUCC